GAUGAACGCUGGCGGCGUGCCUAAUACAUGCAAGUCGAGCGAACAGGCGAGGAGCUUGCUCCUCUGACGUUAGCGGCGGACGGGUGAGUAACACGUGGAUAACCUACCUAUAAGACUGGGAUAACUUCGGGAAACCGGAGCUAAUACCGGAUAAUAUAUUGAACCGCAUGGUUCAAUAGUGAAAGACGGUUUUGCUGUCACUUAUAGAUGGAUCCGCGCCGCAUUAGCUAGUUGGUAAGGUAACGGCUUACCAAGGCAACGAUGCGUAGCCGACCUGAGAGGGUGAUCGGCCACCCUGGAACUGAGACACGGUCCAGACUCCUACGGGAGGCAGCAGUAGGGAAUCUUCCGCAAUGGGCGAAAGCCUGACGGAGCAACGCCGCGUGAGUGAUGAAGGUCUUCGGAUCGUAAAACUCUGUUAUUAGGGAAGAACAAAUGUGUAAGUAACUAUGCACGUCUCGACGGUACCUAAUCAGAAAGCCACGGCUAACUACGUG
This 497-nucleotide ribosomal RNA is filed under the name uncultured bacterium. Its description in RNAcentral is "partial 16S ribosomal RNA". It matches the Rfam family "Bacterial small subunit ribosomal RNA", at positions 28 to 507 of the family's 1533-position model. The record is from RNAcentral.